Molecule: ribosomal RNA, 494 nt
Filed under: uncultured bacterium
Lineage: Bacteria
Description: partial 16S ribosomal RNA
Rfam family: Bacterial small subunit ribosomal RNA
Source: RNAcentral
GAUGAACGCUAGCGGCAGGCUUAACACAUGCAAGUCGAGGGGUAUAACACUUCGGUGCUAGAGACCGGCGCACGGGUGCGUAACGCGUAUGUAAUCUACCUUUUACAGAGGGAUAGCCCAGAGAAAUUUGGAUUAAUACCUCAUGGUAUUAUGGAUAGGCAUCUAUUUAUAAUUAAAGAUUUAUUGGUAAAAGAUGAGCAUGCGUCCCAUUAGCUAGUUGGUAUGGUAACGGCAUACCAAGGCGAAGAUGGGUAGGGGUCCUGAGAGGGAGAUCCCCCACACUGGUACUGAGACACGGACCAGACUCCUACGGGAGGCAGCAGUGAGGAAUAUUGGACAAUGGGCGCAAGCCUGAUCCAGCCAUGCCGCGUGCAGGAUGACUGCCCUAGGGGUUGUAAACUGCUUUUGUACAGGAAGAAACCCUUCUACGAGUAGAAGAUUGACGGUACUGUAAGAAUAAGGAUCGGCUAACUCCGUGCCAGCCGCCGCAGUAA